UAUUAUAUAUGUGUAGGGGCAUAGUAUGUAUGCAUACUUUUGCAGGUGGUAACCAUUCAUACAUUAUGGGGAAAGUAAUUUUUAGAACUCAGGUAGUAAAUGUCUUUAAAAAAAAAAUUGGGGGAAGGGGCGGCGACGCCAAGUCCGCCCGCGAAGGUGGCAAGAAAAAGCCCCUGAAACAGCCCAAGAAGCAGCCCAAGGAGAUGGAUGAGGAAGAUAAAGCGUUCAAGCAGAAACAAAAAGAGGAGCAGAAGAAACUCAGGAGCUAAAAGCGAAGGCCAUGGGGAAGGGCCCCCUGGCUAUAGGUGGAAUUAAGAAAUCUGGCAAAAAGUAAGCUGUUCCUUGUGCCUGAGGGGAUGAUGACCCUUGAUUCCUAUUUAAACAUCUGUAUUCCCUGCCAUAACAUCUUUUGCCACCUAUAGCUAAAAUGAAGUGUUGUCUUGGAGCCUAUUGUACAUUUAAGAAUAAACUUUUGUUAAAAAA
Non-coding RNA from Microcebus murinus (gray mouse lemur), 483 nucleotides. Lineage: Eukaryota; Metazoa; Chordata; Mammalia; Primates; Cheirogaleidae. The record is from RefSeq and is a predicted model, not a curated record.